CAGGAAAGAGAAAAUGCAGGCUUUGGUCCAGCAUGCAAGCGUGUGGGUAGCAUCUCAGGGUGUCAGUCCUCACAGUGACUUCAGCAGACAUCUCCAGAUACUUAGAGUUAAGAGUCUGAGUCUCUUUUAAACGUCUGGUUUGACAAUGCAGCCUGUUUCACCCUUAGCACAAGUUUUCUACUGCUCUCUCAGAGUCCAUAUGUCCUAAGGCCCUUGCGGGGCUCCUUGAUGAUGUAAGUAUUUAGGAUAACACUGUCCAUGCAAAAAAGUUCAGAAGACUGAAAACAACUCAUGUAUUACUCAGAAUAUCCUGUUAACACAGGCAAAUGGUAACCUGUGCAGGGAGUAAGACUUCUCCCAUAGAUGCUGCAGUGGGAUGGGUGUCAGCAAGAGUCUGGCUUCAUGUGGACUCCACCCAUUUCAUCUUUGGGACAUCUCAACCCAUACUACAGAUGCUGUAGCCACUUUCACACUGCUGAGGUGUGAAACACUGCUUGUAAGUGUAACAUCA
Molecule: long non-coding RNA, 511 nt
Organism: Athene cunicularia (burrowing owl)
Lineage: Eukaryota; Metazoa; Chordata; Aves; Strigiformes; Strigidae
Exons: 2
Source: RefSeq, a predicted model, not a curated record